CCUACGGGAGGCAGCAGUGAGGAAUAUUGGUCAAUGGACGCGAGUCUGAACCAGCCAAGUAGCGUGAAGGAUGACUGCCCUCUGGGUUGUAAACUUCUUUUAUAUGGGAAUAAAAUGUUCAACGUGUGGGUUUUUGUAUGUACCAUAUGAGUAAAGAACGGCUAACCCGGUUCCAGCAGCCGCGGUACUACGGAGGAUCCGAGCGUUAUCCGGAUUUAUGGGGUUUAACGGGAGCGUAGGUGGAUUGUUAAGUCAGUUGUGAAAGUUUGCGGCUCAACCGUAAAAUUGCAGUUGAUACUGGCAGUCUUGAGUACAGUAGAGGUGGGCGGAAUUCGUGGUGUAGCGGUGAAAUGCUUAGAUAUCACGAAGAACUCCGAUUGCGAAGGCAGCUCACUGGAC
RNAcentral lists this ribosomal RNA (399 nucleotides) under uncultured bacterium. RNAcentral's name for it is "partial 16S ribosomal RNA". It matches the Rfam family "Bacterial small subunit ribosomal RNA", at positions 338 to 734 of the family's 1533-position model. The record is from RNAcentral.